RNAcentral lists this ribosomal RNA (253 nucleotides) under uncultured bacterium. RNAcentral's name for it is "partial 16S ribosomal RNA". It matches the Rfam family "Bacterial small subunit ribosomal RNA", at positions 524 to 776 of the family's 1533-position model. The record is from RNAcentral.
UACGAAGGGGGCUAGCGUUGCUCGGAAUCACUGGGCGUAAAGCGCACGUAGGCGGGUCGUUAAGUCGGGGGUGAAAUCCUGGAGCUCAACUCCAGAACUGCCUUCGAUACUGGCGACCUUGAGUCCGGGAGAGGUGAGUGGAACUCCGAGUGUAGAGGUGAAAUUCGUAGAUAUUCGGAAGAACACCAGUGGCGAAGGCGGCUCACUGGCCCGGUACUGACGCUGAGGUGCGAGAGCCAGGGGAGCAAACGGG